UGCUCUUCCUUGGCUUGUGUCCUGAC
RNAcentral lists this non-coding RNA (26 nucleotides) under Mus musculus (house mouse). Lineage: Eukaryota; Metazoa; Chordata; Mammalia; Rodentia; Muridae. The record is from RNAcentral.